Non-coding RNA from Petromyzon marinus (sea lamprey), 4496 nucleotides. NCBI's taxonomy places the organism in Eukaryota, Metazoa, Chordata, Hyperoartia, Petromyzontiformes, Petromyzontidae. The record is from RefSeq and is a predicted model, not a curated record.
GGGUGGGUAGGGGGGGGAGGUGAUAGGUGAGGUGGGUGAUGGAGGACUCUCUCCUGGUAGGUGACGUUUCCACGCACAGGUUGACUCGCCUGUACGUGAAAGACUCACCUGUACGUGGGGGGGGGGGUGGAGGUUUUAUCUACAAGCGGUUCCAACUCCUGCCGUAGAGAGUUGACUUGGCCCAUCAUCCUCGUCAUCCUCGUCAUCCUCGUCCUCCUACCAGCGGUCGAUGACGACAACAACAAACAAACGAAUUGGCACCACCUCCUGUUUGUGCAAAUGAUCUUUUUUGGCAUCCGUCCUGAGCCGUUGCCAUAGGAAUGUGGAAUGUCCAUCAACGAUUUUCUUUUUAACCAACAAAAAUUUAAAACCUCAACGUGACCUUGACCUCAAACACAGCCAGUGGAGGGGGCAGUCAAUCGACCAAUCGGAUGUGAGAGAUUAUUGAUACGUAGGCGGCCAAUCGCAUGGCUGCGUGAAUCCGUCCAAUCCCUGAGGUCGUUCGCUAAGACUCCCCCCCGAAUUCUGACGUCAGACUGACCCAACCCACCACCACCACCACCCUCUAACCUUUGACACUUUUUAAAAAUGUGUGCGUUUUUAAAUGUUCCGUCUCUUCGUAAUUAAACCUGUUCAGGAAAUGAUUAGACACGCAUCUGAUUCGCGUUCACAUGCCUCUCAACCCCUUAGCAGUGCUGCCCUGCCUUAUAACAGACCAAUUCAGAACUCACUGGUCACCCCGUGCCCCUUUAUAAAUGCAAUGUGGUGAAUACUUGACCAGUGGUAGUGGUCACUCUACUGACCACUGAGAAGUCACCCUAGCUGGCUAAACACGGCUGUAGUUGUCACUCUACUGACCACUGAGAAGUCACCCUAGCUGGCUAAAGACCACCGUGGAGGUCACUCUACUGACCACUGAGAAGUCACCCUACUGACCACUCUACUGACCACUCUACUGACCACUGAGAAGUCACCCUAGCUGGCUAAACACCACCGUGGUGGUCACUCUACUGACCACUGAGAGGUCACCCUAGCUGGCUAAACACCACUGUGGAGGUCACUCUACUGACCACUGAGAGGUCACCCUAGCUGGCUAAACACCACCGUGGUGGUCACUCUACUGACCACUGAGAAGUCACCCUAGCUGGCUAAACACCACCGUGGUGGUCACUCUACUGACCACUGAGAAGUCACCCUAGCUGACUAAACACCACCGUGGUGGUCACUCUACUGACCACUGAGAGGUCACCCUAGCUGGUUAAACACCACCGUGGUGGUCACUCUACUGACCACUGAGAGGUCACCCUAGCUGACUAAACACGGCCGUGGUGGUCACUCUACUGACCACUGAGAAGUCACCCUAGCUGACUAAACACCACUGUGGUGGUCACUCUACUGACCACUGAGAAGUCACCCUAGCUGGCUAAACACGGCUGUAGUUGUCACUCUACUGACCACUGAGAAGUCACCCUAGCUGGCUAAAGACCACCGUGGAGGUCACUCUACUGACCACUGAGAAGUCACCCUACUGACCACUCUACUGACCACUCUACUGACCACUGAGAAGUCACCCUAGCUGGCUAAACACCACCGUGGUGGUCACUCUACUGACCACUGAGAGGUCACCCUAGCUGGCUAAACACCACUGUGGAGGUCACUCUACUGACCACUGAGAGGUCACCCUAGCUGGCUAAACACCACCGUGGUGGUCACUCUACUGACCACUGAGAAGUCACCCUAGCUGGCUAAACACCACCGUGGUGGUCACUCUACUGACCACUGAGAAGUCACCCUAGCUGACUAAACACCACCGUGGUGGUCACUCUACUGACCACUGAGAGGUCACCCUAGCUGGUUAAACACCACCGUGGUGGUCACUCUACUGACCACUGAGAGGUCACCCUAGCUGACUAAACACGGCCGUGGUGGUCACUCUACUGACCACUGAGAAGUCACCCUAGCUGACUAAACACCACUGUGGUGGUCACUCUACUGACCACUGAGAGGUCACCCUAGCUGACUAAACACCAACCGUGGUGGUCACUUUACUGACCACUGAGUAGUCACCCUAACUGACUAAACACCACCGUGGUGGUCACUCUACUGACCACUGAGUAGUCACCCUAGCUGACUAAACACCAACCGUGGUGGUCACUCUACUGACCACUGAGAGGUCACCCUAGCUGACUAAACACCACCGUGACGGUCACUCUACUGACCACUGAGAAGUCACCCUAGCUGACUAAACACCACCGUGGUGGUCACUCUACUGACCACUGAGAGGUCACCCUAGCUGGCUAAACACCACCGUGACGGUCACUCUACUGACCACUGAGAAGUCACCCUAGCUGACUAAACACCACCGUGGUGGUCACUCUACUGACCACUGAGAGGUCACCCUAGCUGACUAAACACCACCGUGGUGGUCACUCUACUGACCACUGAGAGGUCACCCUAGCUGGUUAAACACCACCGUGGUGGUCACUCUACUGACCACUGAGAGGUCACCCUAGCUGACUAAACACCACCGUGGUGGUCACUCUACUGACCACUGAGUAGUCACCCUAGCUGACUAAACACCAACCGUGGUGGUCACUCUACUGACCACUGAGAGGUCACCCUAGCUGACUAAACACCACCGUGACGGUCACUCUACUGACCACUGAGAAGUCACCCUAGCUGACUAAACACCACCGUGGUGGUCACUCUACUGACCACUGAGAGGUCACCCUAGCUGGCUAAACACCACCGUGACGGUCACUCUACUGACCACUGAGAAGUCACCCUAGCUGACUAAACACGGCCGUAGUGGUCACUCUACUGACCACUGAGAAGACACCCUAGCUGACUAAACACCACCGUGGUGGUCACUCUACUGACCACUGAGAAGUCACCCUAGAUGGCUAAACACCACCGUGACGGUCACUCUACUGACCACUGAGAGGCCACCCUAGCUGGUUAAACACUACCGUGGUGGUCACUCUACUGACCACUGAGUAGUCACCCUAGCUGACUAAACACCACUGUGGUGGUCACUCUACUGACCACUGAAAAGUCACCCUAGCUGACUAAACACCACUGUGGUGGUCACUCUACUGACCACUGAGAAGUCACCCUAGCUGACUAAACACGGCCGUGGUGGUCACUCUACUGACAACUGCGAAGUCCCCCUAGCUGACUAAACACCAACCGUGGUGGUCACUCUACUGACCACUGAGUAGUCCCCCUAGCUGACUAAACACGGCCGUGGUGGUCACUCUACUGACCACUGAUAAGUCACCCUAGCUGACUAAACACCACCGUGACGGUCACUCUACUGACCACUGAGUAGUCACCCUAGCUGGCUAAACACCACCGUGGUGGUCACUCUACUGACCACUGAGAAGUCCCCCUAGCUGACUAAACUCCACCGUGGUGGUCACUCUACUGACCACUGAGAGGUCACCCUAGCUGACUAAACACCACCGUGGUGGUCACUCUACUGACCACUGAGAGGUCACCCUAGCUGGCUAAACACCACCGUGGUGGUCACUCUACUGACCACUGAGAGGUCACCCUAGCUGGCUAAACACCACUGUGGUGGUCACUCUACUGACCACUGAGAAGUCACCCUAGCUGGCUAAACACCACCGUGGAGGUCACUCUACUGACCACUGAGAAGUCACCCUAGCUGACUAAACACCACCGUGGUGGUCACUCUACUGACCACUUAGAGGUCAACCUAGCUGGCUAAACACCACCGUGGUGGUCACUCUACUGACCACUGAGAGGUCACCCUAGCUGGCUAAACACCACCGUGGUGGUCACUGUGGGGAGUGAUAGUGUAGUGGUUACCGCUACAAAGCCGGCGACCCGAGUUCGAUUCCCGCUCACGGCCAACGCCGGUGACGAUUGCCUGAACCGGUCCUGGGCCUCCUCCCCUAGGUCGACUCGGGUUCAAAAACGAGUCCCUGGUGUAGUGCAGUAAACACGGCCACUAGGGAGACAAAGGCGGCCGGGCGUGGUGCUGGUCACCCACCCCUUCGUGUGCCGUGGCCGGCCUUUCGUAGGUGGUGCUUGCUCGCUAACAGCACUCGCCCCUACAGUCUGCCAAAGCUACUUGGGAGAUCUCUGUUUUUGUGAGCGAGAUGGCGUGCGUGAUCUGCAGGUGAACUUUGCACGAAUUUGCACGAACGAAGUCGAUUUUAAGUGCGGUACGGCGUUUGCCCCCUCAAUCGGAUGAACUGUAAACUAUUUUUUUUUAAUUCCACCACGUGUAAGGCCCACUAUUGAGCUGCUAUAAUAGCUGUGAUAUUUCAGAUAGCGACCUGGCUAUAGCAAACGCCUCGCAUAUACAGGAGGUCGUGGGUUCGAUCCUGAUCCUUACUACUGCUGCUGUAUACAGGGUGCUUAAAAUAAAAAAAAGUUUUUAACACUUAUACGAGACUCUCGUUUUUUAAUGGAAAAAGAGCGGGUAACAAUAACACCGUAACAUGAUCACAAAUGGAAUGUUAAUA